This is a long non-coding RNA of Rhododendron vialii, 732 nucleotides long. RefSeq lists it as uncharacterized. NCBI's taxonomy places the organism in Eukaryota, Viridiplantae, Streptophyta, Magnoliopsida, Ericales, Ericaceae. The transcript is spliced from 2 exons. The record is from RefSeq and is a predicted model, not a curated record.
GAGGAGAAAUAGAAAGAAAGUAUGGUAACCAGGCUAUGGAAUUAACAGUAGUCGCAGCUGCAGCCAAUAUAGCCACAGCUUUAGGAGCUCUUGUUUUAUUCGCUCUCUACCUGUAGCAAGUGCGAAGCUUGGCACAAGAUCUUUUAGACAAUAAAGUUGGGCGAAAAUUGAGGAAACGUUGGGGAUGAUCAUGCUGUUUUCGAGCAAGGUGCUUCCGCUGGAAACGUGGGAAACAUGAAAGUGCUGGAGCAGAAGAAAGCAAAUCCAGUGUGGCCUUGCUUCUCUCUUCAGUCAUGAUGCUGAGACAUCUCCAAUUCCCAUCAUUUGCCAAUCGAUUAGAAACUGCUGUGAAAUGGGUUAUAUCGGAGGGUGAUAGCUCCGAUUCCUAGACAAAAGACCUUGGUGGUGAUAGCUCCACCCAGGAAGUCGUUGAUGUCGUCCUUGGAGCUCUAGACAUUUCUGCUAUACACAGUUUCCUGUAAAACUGUCCAUUGGUCCUGGGCUGCAAAGCUGCUUGUUUGUCCCAACAGAUAUUUCACUUGCAACUAUUUGUUAGGAAUUCUUAGUACCCUUUAUUAUGUAUUGGCUGUUUGAUUAUCAAAUCCCAGACAAAGAAUAUUAUGUCAUUUCGAAUAAUGACCUUUCAAGCUAUUGUGAAAGUUUAGACUAUCCACGCAUUUGGUAUCAAGGAAAAUAGGAAUUCAGAAAGGGUUCACAUGCAGUGGAUUAUGU